CAUAGAAUCUGAACAUUUAUCAGAACUCACAGAGGAGGAGUAUGAAGCCCAGUACAUAAAACGCCAGGACCUCAAAGGGUUUAUGUGGUUUGAUGCCAAGUAUUUGAAUCCUUUCUUCACCAGACGACUCACACAAGAAGACUUGCAUCACGGGCGCAUACAGAUGAAAACCCUCACAAACAAAUGGUAUGAGGAGGUACGACAAGGACCCUCAGGAUCUGAAGAUGAUGAGCAAGAGCUGCUAUAGCAAACUGGGGAAGGAAUACAAGGAGUUUAUCAUUAGAGCAUCGACGACGAUUUAAGUAACAACAAGAGUUUGACUGCACAAAAGCUGGAGAACUCAGAAUGAACCUUCUGAUUUCAGACUUGUGCUGUGUUUAGAUAUCAGAAAAGAUCUACUGUUCUUGAUAUUACUAGUGAGUGACUGAGAACCUCUUAACACUGUCAGAAGCUGGAGUGAAGCCAGACAUUUUCAGAUUUUACAGCAUAGUAAAUUUCUUGCAGCCUAUUAAAAAGCAGAAACAACCACCUUGAACUAAAGACACUGUUUAAUGUGGGGGUCUUCCUAUUAUGAAAUAUGCUGUAAAUGUAUGCUGAAGUACAGAGUCCAUUGUAUUGCUCUGCAAAACAGGAUGAAUUGCACUUUACCUUUUUUUUUUUUUAAUACUCAUUCACAGCAUAGAGAGUCUUGAUGGUUUAUACUGUGAAUUUGUUUCAGCACUAGUAAGAGAGUCUGUCAGGAAUAAAUCUGUAAUUUAUGGGUUUUGCACAUUUUGAAUCCAGAAUAGAUAAUAAGUACCUUGACAAAAAACAGAUGCUGCACAUAUAAGUAAGCACCUCUUAAAACUAGUGGUUUUGGAUUUUAAAAACUUCUGGAUUUCUGUUCUGUGGUUUUGGUGUUUUAUACUGAAGUAGUGUAAUCCACAGUACUGACUGUGGCAUGAUUUGGGCGGAGGGUAUUAUAUGACAAAGUACAGAACUGCUUUUGAAAUACUUUUUUUUUUUAAACACGAUUUUUUCUUUGUUUAAAACAGUUGCAUUUAGGUUUCUAUAAUUGGUGGUUGCUCCCUGUUAGCACUUUGGCUUCAAGUCUUAGGAAGCAGCUACUUUUGAUAUGGAUAAAUUCACAAAGUGUCCCUAACUCUCUCAAGAAAUCAUGAGCAGAAUUUUGGCAUUCUAGUGGAAGCAAAAGCAAUGUUUUUCCACAUCACUGUUUUGAGGAACAACAUGUGUGCGUGCAGAAGGGGAGUCUACAAAAUACAAUCUAGGUAUGGAGCAGUUUAACACUGCACAUUGCUGAAGCAUUCUCGGUUGGGAAGUGCCAAAGAAUUUUCAUUAAGUUGUCCUGCUAGUUUGAUUUUUCUCUCCUGCUGUUUCAAAAUCAGCAGCAACAUUUCACUUUUUCUAUGUGGCAUGGUCAAUUUGCUCAAAACUGCUUACACCUGAACAGACACAUUUACUUGUUACACAUUUGCCAUGGUUACAUGUGCAGGUGUUUUCUCACACUGCCAAUCCUAAUUGUCUCAUUAGCAUAUUCAUUAUUGGAAUUUGAAAUUGCAGUUUUGGGUGUAAAUCAAGCAUGCAAGUGUACAUGUUUGUUUCUGAAAGUAAUAUUUUUGGUUUGGUUUUGUUACUAGAGUUUUUAAUUAACUGCUUACCUUUUGGGAGAAAUAAAAGUUCAAGAAUGUAUUUGAAAUCUGAA
Dromaius novaehollandiae (emu) is the source of this 1702-nucleotide long non-coding RNA. RefSeq lists it as uncharacterized. NCBI's taxonomy places the organism in Eukaryota, Metazoa, Chordata, Aves, Casuariiformes, Dromaiidae. The transcript has 2 exons. The record is from RefSeq and is a predicted model, not a curated record.